Molecule: RNA transcript, 834 nt
Organism: Nylanderia fulva
Lineage: Eukaryota; Metazoa; Arthropoda; Insecta; Hymenoptera; Formicidae
Gene: Vha14-1
Gene name: V-type proton ATPase subunit Vha14-1
Source: RefSeq, a predicted model, not a curated record
UUGGAAACGCAAUAACACGUGAUUAUCUGUGGUGUGGCCAAUGUCAGCUGAUGUACAAUAGAAUCUCUCUGUAUUUUGUAUACGAUUGAUUGAUUACAAAAUUGCUUCACUUAGAAGCUUUAUUUGCAAAUUUUAGUCUGCUUUUACGAAGAGUAUAUAAUGGCACUUCAUUCCGCAGGAAAAGGAAAACUUCUAGCAGUGAUUGGCGAUGAGGAUACCUGUGUGGGUUUUUUGCUGGGUGGAGUUGGAGAGAUCAAUAAACAUCGCCAGCCUAAUUUUAUGGUUGUCGAUAAAAACACAGCGAUAAGCGAGAUAGAAGACACAUUCAAGCGUUUUAUCAAGCGUGAUGAUAUCGAUAUCAUUCUUAUUAAUCAGAAUGUAGCAGAAAUGAUUCGUCAUGUAAUUGACAGUCACACUCAACCAAUACCUGCUGUACUAGAAAUUCCGAGCAAAGAUCAUCCAUACGACGCCAGCAAAGAUUCCAUUUUAAGACGCGCUAAGGGAAUGUUCAACCCAGAAGAUAUACAUUAAUAUAAAUGUGGCAUUGUUGGAAUUAUACACUAUGUAUAUACAGUUAAACAGAAUUAUUCGAUUGAUUAUCUGAAACUGUUGUAUUACUGGUGACAUCAAAAUUAAUGAAAUUCGGGAGAACGAGGAAGAUGAUUCGAGAAUGAGCACAAUGAGUUUUUCGAGUUUUAUUUAAUACAACGAUUUCAUAAAGACUGGAAGCUUCGACCAGCACAAAGUCUGCACAUUUCAAAAUCGUAAUGGUCAGAGAGAAAAGAGUAGGGACAUGCAUAUGUAGUACAAAUACAUUGUGAUUGUGCAAUUGUA